UGGGGAAUAUUGGACAAUGGGCGCAAGCCUGAUCCAGCGACGCCGCGUGAGUGAUGAAGGCCUUAGGGUUGUAAAGCUCUUUUAGUAGGGAAGAUAAUGACGGUACCUACAGAAAAAGCCCCGGCUAACUUCGUGCCAGCAGCCGCGGUAAUACGAAGGGGGCAAGCGUUACUCGGAUUUACUGGGCGUAAAGCGUGCGUAGGCGGCUAAAUAAGUUGGAAGUGAAAGCCUAGAGCUUAACUUUAGAAUUGCUUUCAAAACUGUUUGGCUAGAGUGCUAGAGAGGAUAGCGGAAUUCCUAGUGUAGAGGUGAAAUUCGUAGAUAUUAGGAGGAACACCGGAGGCGAAAGCGGUUAUCUGGCUAGCAACUGACGCUGUUGCACGAAAGCGUGGGGAGCAAA
This 400-nucleotide ribosomal RNA is filed under the name uncultured bacterium. RNAcentral's name for it is "bacterial SSU rRNA". It matches the Rfam family "Bacterial small subunit ribosomal RNA", at positions 355 to 772 of the family's 1533-position model. The record is from RNAcentral.